UGGCGGAGAUAGCGCGGUGGUCCCACCUGACCCCAUGCCGAACUCAGAAGUGAAACGCCGUAGCGCCGAUGGUAGUGUGGGGCUUCCCCAUGCGA
This 95-nucleotide ribosomal RNA is filed under the name Escherichia albertii. Lineage: Bacteria; Pseudomonadati; Pseudomonadota; Gammaproteobacteria; Enterobacterales; Enterobacteriaceae. The record is from RNAcentral.